UCCCUGGUGGUCCAGAGGUUGAGACUCUGCAAAUCCUAAUGCUGGGGGCCUGGGUUCAAUUCCUGGUCAGGGAA
Molecule: transfer RNA, 74 nt
Filed under: Ovis aries (sheep)
Lineage: Eukaryota; Metazoa; Chordata; Mammalia; Artiodactyla; Bovidae
Rfam family: tRNA
About the family: Transfer RNA (tRNA) molecules are approximately 80 nucleotides in length. Their secondary structure includes four short double-helical elements and three loops (D, anti-codon, and T loops).
Source: Rfam by way of RNAcentral